Molecule: ribosomal RNA, 787 nt
Filed under: Streptomyces parvulus
Lineage: Bacteria; Bacillati; Actinomycetota; Actinomycetes; Kitasatosporales; Streptomycetaceae
Description: bacterial SSU rRNA
Rfam family: Bacterial small subunit ribosomal RNA
Source: RNAcentral
ACGAACGCUGGCGGCGUGCUUAACACAUGCAAGUCGAACGAUGAACCACUUCGGUGGGGAUUAGUGGCGAACGGGUGAGUAACACGUGGGCAAUCUGCCCUGCACUCUGGGACAAGCCCUGGAAACGGGGUCUAAUACCGGAUACUGACCUUCACGGGCAUCUGUGAAGGUCGAAAGCUCCGGCGGUGCAGGAUGAGCCCGCGGCCUAUCAGCUUGUUGGUGAGGUAAUGGCUCACCAAGGCGACGACGGGUAGCCGGCCUGAGAGGGCGACCGGCCACACUGGGACUGAGACACGGCCCAGACUCCUACGGGAGGCAGCAGUGGGGAAUAUUGCACAAUGGGCGAAAGCCUGAUGCAGCGACGCCGCGUGAGGGAUGACGGCCUUCGGGUUGUAAACCUCUUUCAGCAGGGAAGAAGCGAAAGUGACGGUACCUGCAGAAGAAGCGCCGGCUAACUACGUGCCAGCACCGCGGUAAUACGUAGGGCGCAAGCGUUGUCCGGAAUUAUUGGGCGUAAAGAGCUCGUAGGCGGCUUGUCACGUCGGUUGUGAAAGCCCGGGGCUUAACCCCGGGUCUGCAGUCGAUACGGGCAGGCUAGAGUUCGGUAGGGGAGAUCGGAAUUCCUGGUGUAGCGGUGAAAUGCGCAGAUAUCAGGAGGAACACCGGUGGCGAAGGCGGAUCUCUGGGCCGAUACUGACGCUGAGGAGCGAAAGCGUGGGGAGCGAACAGGAUUAGAUACCCUGGUAGUCCACGCCGUAAACGGUGGGCACUAGGUGUGGGCAACUUC